UAUCCGUGCCAGGCCGUAGAAUGGGGUCCUGGUCUUCCUGUCAUAUCAUAACAUUACUUACCGUUGCCCCAGGGCCUCAUCUGGGCACCUGGUCUUCACGUUCCAUACCGUGCUAGGCCGUAGAAUGGGGUCCUGGUCUUUCAUACCGUGCCAGGCCGUAGAAUGGGGUCCUGGUCUUUCCUCAGGAACUAAUUGGAUCAUACAGCAUUCACCCACAUCCACAACAAAGAAUGCAAUGCAAUAUAUUCGUGGAUUCUA
RNAcentral lists this long non-coding RNA (258 nucleotides) under Manihot esculenta (cassava). RNAcentral describes it as "long non-coding RNA (MESC_LNC004632)". The record is from RNAcentral. Lineage: Eukaryota; Viridiplantae; Streptophyta; Magnoliopsida; Malpighiales; Euphorbiaceae.